This 513-nucleotide ribosomal RNA is filed under the name uncultured bacterium. RNAcentral's name for it is "partial 16S ribosomal RNA". It matches the Rfam family "Bacterial small subunit ribosomal RNA", at positions 28 to 523 of the family's 1533-position model. The record is from RNAcentral.
GAUGAACGCUGGCGGCGUGCCUACUACAUGCAAGUCGAGCGAACAGACGAGGAGCUUGCUCCUCUGACGUUAGCGGCGGACGGGUGAGUAACACGUGGAUAACCUACCUAUAAGACUGGGAUAACUUCGGGAAACCGGAGCUAAUACCGGCUAAUAUAUUGAACCGCAUGGCUCACUAGUGAAAGACGGUUUUGCUGUCACUUAUAGAUGGAUCCGCGCCGCAUUAGCUAGUUGGUAAGGUAACGGCUUACCAAUGCAACGAUGCGUAGCCGACCUGGGAGGGUGGUCGGCCACACUGGAACUGAGAUACGGUCCAGACUCCUACGGGAGGUAGCAGUAGGGAAUCUUCCGCAAUGGGCGAAAGCCUGACGGAGCAACGCGGCGUGAGUGAUGAAGGUCUUCGGAUCGUAAAUCUCUGUUAUUAGGGAAGAACAAAUGUGUAAGUAACUAUGCACGUCUUGACGGUACCUAAUCAGAAAGCCACGGCUAACUACGUGCAAGCAGCCGCCGUAA